UAAUUAGUAUCUUUGCCAUUUGAUGUAUAAGAAUCAUCCAUACAUAGAUUCAUUUGUCCUGAAAGAUUUCUUCCAAAGAUUGACUUUCAGGGCAUAUUUCCAACAAUCUCCCACUUGCACUAAAGUCAAUCACUAGUGUAUCUUAUACAUCUUGUCGAGAGAGUUUAUGCUCGUAGGUUAACUUGGUUAUGUAUUAAUCUCUUUUAUAUUUAAAAGGGUUUACUUAUCAAAUGUUUCCAAAACAUUUGAUGAUGUCUCUUUAUUGUGUUCGAAUACUUUGAUGAGACCUUGAUUCCAUGGUUUGAGCUAUCGCCCCAUUACGUCGUAGUACUCUACUAACGACCUUAUGGUUUGGAUUCAAUCAUGGGUUCUGAAAGAACCCCUUUCAUUCAAAACACCUUUUGAAGCAGUUUCUAAAACUAUAUAUCUACAUAUAUUUCGUUUGUAUACUUUAUACAAACUUUGCUCCAAGCUUGAGACCAUUGUAGUACAAUACUAACAAUUCAUUCAUAUGAUUAGUACUUCAUCCAUUAUGAAGUUCCAUUUGUUAAAAUGGCUUAUUUUCACUUUGGUUAACAACCUAAGUGAAUGCACUCUUCCAGAGUCCCACUCUGAUGUUUCUUUCUUAAAGGCAAUAAUACUCUAUCAGUUGCUUUGGUUCUGAUCCUGGGAUAUAGUAAUAUCUUAAAGUGAUAAACUCAGUGGUUUCUUCACCUUUGGAUAUCUACUUCACAAGUCAACAAAUGUGUCCCUUUUGUGAUUUUAUGACACAUUCAUUAUAAGGGUUAUGAAAGUGAUUUCUUAUCACAUAGGAAAAUGCUUUCUUAAAUCUUCAACAUUUGAGAUUUAAUUCCCAUAUAACAUUAUUGAGAUAGCCUUGCUAUAUCAGUAAGUCUAAUUUUAAGUCUAUACUUCAAAAUUGACCGUGUCAUGUUUUGUCAUUUUCGAGUAACAUCUAUGUUUCAUCAAGUCUAUCAAAUAGACUUUAUUCACAUCUUGUUGCUCAAAUUAUGACAUCACUCCCACUGGCCUUGUUGUAACUUAGCAUUCAUUCAAAAAUAACAAUUAAAUUUUCUUGAUUUGAAUGCAUAUUGCUCUCACUAACUUGUCUUGGAUCCAUUGAGAAUCAUUGAGAUCCAUUAGCUUAUUGAUGAUGUCUCAACAAUUUUGAGACCAUCAACAACCCUAGCUAACACAAGUUAUUUAAACGAAUCACAUACAAAAGAAUUCCUUCUAAAGUAAUUCCUUUUGAAUAUGUGACUUGUUUUAUCAAGUCUAUUCAUUUAAAUUAUACGAUGUGUCAUACACCAUACUUCAAGUUUUAGUCAUACUAAGACCUUUAAUGUAGUCAUAUAAGAAUUAUCCAAUUCCUUAGUGGAAGCAUGGCUCCUACCAAGGAUAUAGAUACUCAACCGUUCCUUCUAGGUGGUUGAUAUAAUUCUUUAUCAAAACUACAUAGAGCAAUAUCGUUACAUGAGGUGUUGAAUUUGGAUUGUCUUGUUGUUCAACCAUAUGUUGUGACUCAUUUUGAAACUUAUUCCCUUUUUGUUUCAUCAACUUGUCCAUAUGCUUUGUUAUUAGCAUGUUCUCAUAAAAGAGAAUGAUGGACAACUCCCA
This 1617-nucleotide long non-coding RNA is filed under the name Malus domestica (apple). Its description in RNAcentral is "long non-coding RNA (MDOM_LNC017089)". Lineage: Eukaryota; Viridiplantae; Streptophyta; Magnoliopsida; Rosales; Rosaceae. The record is from RNAcentral.